Homo sapiens (human) is the source of this 701-nucleotide RNA transcript. It is a transcript of the gene named GUSB pseudogene 19, with no coding region annotated. NCBI's taxonomy places the organism in Eukaryota, Metazoa, Chordata, Mammalia, Primates, Hominidae. The record is from RefSeq and is marked validated. The transcript has 4 exons.
GGCGGACGUGGGGUGUCGUGCAAUAGGGCUGGUGAAUUACCAGAUCUCCGUCAAGUGCAGUAACCAGUUCAAGUUGGAAGUGUGUCUUUUGAAUGCAGAAAACAAGGUCGUGGACAACCAGGCUGGGACCCAGGGCCAGCUGAAGGUGCUGGGUGCCAACCUCUGGUGGCCGUACCUGAUGCACGAACACCCCGCCUACCUGUACUCGUGGGAGGUGUGGCUGACUGCACAGAAGUCACUGGGGCCUUUGACUUCUACACACUCCCUGUGGGGCUCCGCACUGUGGCCGUCACCGAGAGCCAGUUCCUCAUCAGCGGGAAACCUUUCUAUUUCCACGGCGUCAACAAGCAUGAGGAUGCGGACAUCCAAGGGAAGGGCUUCGACUGUCCGCUGCUGGUGAAGGACUUCAACCUGCUUUGCUGGCUUGGCGCCAACACCUUCUGCCCCAGCCACUAUCCCUACACGGAGGAGAUGCUGCAGAUAUGUUACCGGUAUGGGAUUGUGGUCAUCGAUGAGUGUCCUGCUGUGGGCCUGAUGCUGCCAUGAGUCCCUGCUGCGCACCCGCUCUGCCUGGCCAGCCCUCGGGCCACACCGUGACCCUCUGUCCCUUCCCUUCUGGCCCGCUGGCAACUCUUCAACAACGUGUCUAUGCAUCACCAUAUGUGGGUGGUGGAGGAACCGGUGCUAAGAGACAAGAACCA